UACGUAGGGUGCAAGCGUUAAUCGGAAUUACUGGGCGUAAAGCGUGCGCAGGCGGUUCUAUAAGUCAGAGGUGAAAUCCCCGGGCUCAACCUGGGAACUGCAUUUGUGACUGUAGAGCUGGAGUGCGGCAGAGGGGGAUGGAAUUCCGCGUGUAGCAGUGAAAUGCGUAGAUAUGCGGAGGAACACCGAUGGCGAAGGCAAUCCCCUGGGCCUGCACUGACGCUCAUGCACGAAAGCGUGGGGAGCAAACAGG
RNAcentral lists this ribosomal RNA (253 nucleotides) under uncultured bacterium. RNAcentral describes it as "partial 16S ribosomal RNA". It matches the Rfam family "Bacterial small subunit ribosomal RNA", at positions 524 to 776 of the family's 1533-position model. The record is from RNAcentral.